AGAGUUUGAUCAUGGCUCAGGAUUAACGUUGGCGGUAGGCCUAAUACAUGCAAGUCGUACGCAAUUUAUUUUGAGUGGCGAACGGGUGAGUAAUGUAUGUCUAACGUGCCCUAGAGAGGGGGAUAACUGAAAGAAAUUUCAGCUAAUACCCCAUAUCAUCAGAGAAGGCAUCUUCUUUGGUUUAAAGUAGCGUUUGCUGCACUCUAGGAUCGGGACAUAUCGUAUUAGCUAGUUGGUGAGGUAAUGGCUCACCAAGGCGAUUAUGCGUAGCCGGGUUGAGAGACUGACCGGCCACACUGGGACUGAGACACGGCCCAGACUUCUACGGAAGGCAGCAGUAGGGAAUCUUCCACAAUGGGCGCAAGCCUGAUGGAGCCAUACCGCGUGUGGGAUGAAUGCAUUUUUGUUGUAAACCACUGUUGUAAGGGAUGAAAACCCAGGAUAGGAAAUGAUCUUGGCUUGACAGUACCUUACCAGAAAGUCCUGUCUAACUACGUGCCAGCAGACGCGGUAAUACGUAGAGGGCGAACGUUAUCCGGAUUUAUUGGGCGUAAAGGGAGUCUAGCCGGUUCAUUAAGUUCACGUUUAAAUCCAGAGGCUUAACCUCUGUCCGGCGUGAAAACUGGUGAACUAGAAUAACAGAGAGAUCAGUGGAAUUCCAUGUGUAGCGGUGGAAUGCGUAGAUAUAUGGAGGAACGCCAGUUGCGAAGGCGGCUGAUUGGAUGAUUAUUGACGGUAAAGCUCGAAAGCGUGGGGAGCAAAUAGGAUUAGAUACCCUAGUAGUCCACGCCGUAAACGUUCUUCACUAGGUAUAGGGAUGACCCUGUGCCGCAGCUAACGCGUUAAGUGAAGCGCCUGGGGAGUACGCGCGCAAGCGUAAAACUCAAAGGAAUUGACGGGGACCCGCACAAGCGGUGGAGCAUGUGGUUUAAUUCGAUGAUACGCGAAGAACCUUACCUGAACUUGACAUCCUUUGCAAAGCUAUGGAAACAUAGUGGAGGUUAACAGAGUGACAGGUGCUGCAUGGCUGUCGUCAGCUCGUGUCGUGAGAUGUUGGGUUAAGUCCCGCAACGAGCGCAACCCUCGCCCUUAGUUGCCAGCAUUUAGUUGGGCACUCUAGGGGAACCGCCGGUGACAAGCCGGAGGAAGGUGGGGAUGACGUCAAGUCCUCAUGGCCCUUACAAGGUGGGCUACACACGUGCUACAAUGGCAGUGACAAUGGGAUAAUCCCAAAAAGCUGUCUCAGUUCGGAUUGUCUUCUGCAACUCGAAGGCAUGAAGUUGGAAUUGCUAGUAAUCGCGUAACAGCAUGACGCGGUGAAUACGUUCCCGGGCCUUGUACACACCGCCCGUCACACCAUGGGAGUUGGGUUUACCCGAAGAUGGUGCGCCAACCUUAGGGAGGCAGCCUGCCACGGUAAGUUCAGCGACUGGGGUGAAGUCGUAACAAGGUAGC
Molecule: ribosomal RNA, 1455 nt
Filed under: uncultured bacterium
Lineage: Bacteria
Description: bacterial SSU rRNA
Rfam family: Bacterial small subunit ribosomal RNA
Source: RNAcentral